RNAcentral lists this ribosomal RNA (346 nucleotides) under uncultured bacterium. Its description in RNAcentral is "bacterial SSU rRNA". It matches the Rfam family "Bacterial small subunit ribosomal RNA", at positions 77 to 422 of the family's 1533-position model. The record is from RNAcentral.
AGCUUGCUCUCGGGUGAUCAGUGGCGAACGGGUGAGUAACACGUGAGUAACCUGCCCCAGACUCUGGAAUAACCCCGGGAAACCGGAGCUAAUACCGGAUAUGAGACGGAGAGGCAUCUCUACCGUCUGGAAAGUUUUUCGGUCUGGGAUGGACUCGCGGCCUAUCAGCUAGUUGGUGAGGUAACGGCUCACCAAGGCGACGACGGGUAGCCGGCCUGAGAGGGCGACCGGCCACACUGGGACUGAGACACGGCCCAGACUCCUACGGGAGGCAGCAGCGGGGAAUAUUGCACAAUGGGCGAAAGCCUGAUGCAGCGACGCCGCGUGAGGGAUGAAGGCCUUCGAG